CCGACACAGGUAGGUGAGGAGAGAAUCCUAAGGCCAUCGGAAGAAUUGCUGUUAAGGAACUCGGCAAAUUGACCCCGUAACUUCGGGAGAAGGGGUGCCUACGAAAGUAGGCCGCAGAGAAUAGGCCCAAGCAACUGUUUAGCAAAAACACAGGUCUCUGCUAAAGCGAAAGCUGAUGUAUAGGGGCUGACGCCUGCCCGGUGCUGGAAGGUUAAGGGGAACACUUAGCGUAAGCGAAGGUGUGAACUUAAGCCCCAGUAAACGGCGGCCGUAACUAUAACGGUCCUAAGGUAGCGAAAUUCCUUGUCGGGUAAGUUCCGACCCGCACGAAUGGCGUAAUGAUUUGGGCACUGUCUCAACAGCAAAUCCGGCGAAAUUGUAGUGCAAGUGAAGAUGCUUGCUACCCGCGAUUGGACGGAAAGACCCCGUAGAGCUUUACUGUAGCUUAGCAUUGAAUCUCGGUAUUGUCUGUACA
Molecule: ribosomal RNA, 475 nt
Filed under: Clostridium botulinum
Lineage: Bacteria; Bacillati; Bacillota; Clostridia; Eubacteriales; Clostridiaceae
Description: partial 23S ribosomal RNA
Rfam family: Bacterial large subunit ribosomal RNA
Source: RNAcentral